AGGUCAUUGCUAUCGGGGUCCGAUUUAGCCAUGCUAGUCGUGCGAGUUUAGACUCGCGGCGUAUAGCUCAGUAACACGUGGCCAAACUACCCUACAGACAGGAACAACCUCGGGAAACUGAGGCUAACACCUGAUACGCGUUGGCUGUUUGAAGACCGACGCUCAAACGCUCCGGCGCUGUAGGAUGUGGCUGCGGCCGAUU
Molecule: ribosomal RNA, 202 nt
Filed under: uncultured Halobacteria archaeon
Lineage: Archaea; Methanobacteriati; Methanobacteriota; Halobacteria
Description: partial 16S ribosomal RNA
Rfam family: Archaeal small subunit ribosomal RNA
Source: RNAcentral